AUGGCCGCUCCGCUCCUCUGCCUCCUCCUGCUCCUCUCCACCGCGUCGGCGGAGUACGCACAGGAGCUGCUUCGGCGCGCCGAGGGGGAGCGAGACUGGAUUGUCGGCGUGCGCCACGCCCACCCGGAGCUCGCGUUCCAGGAGCACCGCACCAGCGCACUCGUCCGCGAGGAGCUCGAGGGGCUAGGGAUCACCGCCUGCGCCGUUGCCGGCACAGGCGUCGUCGCCGACGUCGGCUCGGGCCUGCCCCCGAUCGUCGCCCUCCGCGCCGACAUGGAUGCCCUGCCCAUCCAGGAAUUGGUAGAGUGGGAGCAUAAGAGCAGAGUUGAUGGCGUAAUGCACGCGUGUGGGCAUGAUGCGCACACAGCGAUGCUCCUGGGAGCGGCAAAGCUGCUGCAUCAGCGCAAGGAUCAGCUUAAGGGAACGGUGAGACUCCUUUUUCAACCCGCUGAGGAGGGCGGUGCUGGUGCAUCUCAUAUGGUAAAAGAAGGUGUUCUGAAUGGUGUUGAAGCUAUUUUUGCCAUGCACGUCGAUUGUCAGAAGCCGACGGGUUCAAUAGCUGCUCACGCAGGACCGACACAUGCAGCCGUAUGUUUCUAUGUAGUGAAAAUAGAAGGUAAACCUGGGAAGGCUGAAACACCACACUUGAAUGUGGACCCUAUUGUUGCUGCGGCAUUUACCAUCCUCUCCCUGCAACAGCUCACCUCAAGAGAAGAUGAUCCUCUUCACAGCCAAGUGCUCUCUGUUACCUAUAUUAAAGCUGGGAAUUAUACUGAUACCACACCUCCAGUUGUUGAAUUCGGAGGUACUUUGAGGAGCCUCACUACUGAAGGACUUUAUCGACUAGAGAAAAGGCUUAAGGAGGUAGUAGAAGCGCAGGCAGCUGUUCAUCGAUGCAAGGGAGUUGCGGAGAUAUUGGGGGCUCCCUCCUACCCAAUGUAUCCCGCAGUCGUGAAUGAUGAGAGGCUGCAUCGCCAUGUGGAGAAUGUGGGCAGAAGUUUGCUUGGUCCAGACAAUGUGAAGCCCGGGGAGAAGAUCAUGGCAGGGGAAGACUUUGCUUUCUACCAACAGUUAGUUCCUGGCGUCAUCUUUGGUAUUGGUAUUAGAAACGAGAAAGUUGGUUCGGUGCAUUGUUAUCACAACCCGCAUUUCUUCGUUGACGAGGAUGUCCUUCCAAUUGGAGCUGCAUUGCAUACUGCUAUUACAGAAAUGUAUCUCUCUGGAUGUUCCACUCAAAAUGAAGUUGGAAGGGUGUAUUCACAGUAA
Molecule: ribosomal RNA, 1266 nt
Filed under: Triticum aestivum (bread wheat)
Lineage: Eukaryota; Viridiplantae; Streptophyta; Magnoliopsida; Poales; Poaceae
Description: partial small subunit ribosomal RNA
Source: RNAcentral